Molecule: ribosomal RNA, 417 nt
Filed under: uncultured Pseudomonadota bacterium
Lineage: Bacteria; Pseudomonadati; Pseudomonadota
Description: bacterial SSU rRNA
Rfam family: Bacterial small subunit ribosomal RNA
Source: RNAcentral
AAUGAACGCUGGCGGCGUGCUUAACACAUGCAAGUCGAGCGCGAAAGUGGCUUCGGUCACGAGUAGAGCGGCGAACGGGUGAGUAACACGUGGACAACCUGCCUGGAUGUGGGGGAACAACUCGGGGAAACUUGAGCUAAUACCGCAUACGUCCGAGAGACUACGGUCAAUCGGGGAAAGGUCGCCUAUCCUUGGAAGCGAUCGCAUUCAGAGGGGUCCGCGGCUGAUUAGCUAGUUGGUGAGGUAGUGGCUCACCAAGGCGACGAUCAGUAGCCGGCCUGAGAGGGUGAACGGCCACACUGGAACUGAGACACGGUCCAGACUCCUACGGGAGGCAGCAGUGGGGAAUAUUGGACAAUGGGCGAAAGCCUGAUCCAGCAACGCCGCGUGGGGGACGAAGGCCUUCGGGUUGUAAAC